This 73-nucleotide transfer RNA is filed under the name Cylindrospermum stagnale PCC 7417. It matches the Rfam family "tRNA". From Rfam's summary of the family: Transfer RNA (tRNA) molecules are approximately 80 nucleotides in length. Their secondary structure includes four short double-helical elements and three loops (D, anti-codon, and T loops). Further hydrogen bonds mediate the characteristic L-shaped molecular structure. tRNAs have two regions of fundamental functional importance: the anti-codon, which is responsible for specific mRNA codon recognition, and the 3' end, to which the tRNAs corresponding amino acid is attached (by aminoacyl-tRNA synthetases). tRNAs cope with the degeneracy of the genetic code in two manners: having more than one tRNA (with a specific anti-codon) for a particular amino acid; and 'wobble' base-pairing, i.e. permitting non-standard base-pairing at the 3rd anti-codon position. Lineage: Bacteria; Bacillati; Cyanobacteriota; Cyanophyceae; Nostocales; Nostocaceae. The record is from Rfam by way of RNAcentral.
GAAGUGGUAGUUUAAUUGGAAAAACGCUUGACUUUCACUCAAGAGGUUGUGAGUUCAAAUCUCACCCCUUCCA